Small nucleolar RNA from Papaver somniferum (opium poppy), 92 nucleotides. RefSeq annotates it as small nucleolar RNA U54. The transcript has a single exon. NCBI's taxonomy places the organism in Eukaryota, Viridiplantae, Streptophyta, Magnoliopsida, Ranunculales, Papaveraceae. The record is from RefSeq and is a predicted model, not a curated record.
GGCUCAAUGAUUAUAUGCCUUACACAGGCAAUAUACGCUAUUCUCAUUGGUAUGUUAUCAAUAGGAUGAAAACCUAAAUUCAUAUGAGAGCU